RNAcentral lists this unclassified non-coding RNA (334 nucleotides) under soil metagenome. Its description in RNAcentral is "partial contains 5.8S ribosomal RNA, internal transcribed spacer 2, and large subunit ribosomal RNA". The stretch from base 1 to 120 matches the Rfam family "5.8S ribosomal RNA", at positions 35 to 154 of the family's 154-position model. The record is from RNAcentral.
GAUGAAGAACGUAGCGAAAUGCGAAAAGUAAUGUGAAUUGCAGAAUUCAGUGAAUCAUCGAAUCUUUGAACGCACAUUGCGCCCGCCAGUAUUCUGGCGGGCAUGCCUGUCUGAGCGUCAUUUCAACCAUCAAGCCCUGCUUGUGUUGGGGUCCUGCGGCUGCCCGCAGGCCCUGAAAACCAGUGGCGGGCUCGCUAGUCACACCGAGCGCAGUAGCACAUCUCGCUCAGGGCGUGCGGCGGGCUCCAGCCGUUAAAGCACCCACCUUUCGCAAGGUUGACCUCGGAUCAGGUAGGAAUACCCGCUGAACUUAAGCAUAUCAAUAAGCGGAGGA